GAGGUGGGCUAGGUGGUGGAGCUGGUGCUGGAGGUGGGCUUGGUGGGGGUGCUGGACUUGGAGGAGGAGGUGGUGGAGGCUUUGGCGGCGGCGGUGGUGCCGGAGGAGGAGCAGGUGGAGGAGCUGGCUUCGGUGGUGGAGCUGGAUUUGGAGGUGGUGCUGGUGGUGGUGGUGGAGCUGGAGGUGGUGGAGGAGGAGGAUUUGGAGGUGGUGGUGGACUAGGUGGCGGUGCCGGUGGUGGUUUUGGUGGCGGAGCUGGUGGUGGAUUUGGAGGUGGAUUGCCUUGAAGACCAUAUUAUAUUAUCAUUAAGCUAAAUAUCGUUGUUUACCAAAAAAAUAUUAAAGUUAUUGCUCUUCUAAAUAAGUUUGUAAUUACCAUAUUGCUUCAUAU
RNAcentral lists this long non-coding RNA (391 nucleotides) under Citrus maxima (pomelo). Its description in RNAcentral is "long non-coding RNA (CMAX_LNC001878)". The record is from RNAcentral. Lineage: Eukaryota; Viridiplantae; Streptophyta; Magnoliopsida; Sapindales; Rutaceae.